GAUGAACGCUGGCGGCGUGCCUAAUACAUGCAAGUCGAGCGAACAGACGAGGAGCUUGCUCCUCUGACGUUAGCGGCGGACGGGUGAGUAACACGUGGAUAACCUACCUAUAAGACUGGGAUAACUUCGGGAAACCGGAGCUAAUACCGGAUAAUAUAUUGAACCGCAUGGUUCAAUAGUGAAAGACGGUUUUGCUGUCACUUAUAGAUGGAUCCGCGCCGCAUUAGCUAGUUGGUAAGGUAACGGCUUACCAAGGCAACGAUGCGUAGCCGACCUGAGAGGGUGAUCGGCCACACUGGAACUGAGACACGGUCCAGACUCCUACGGGAGGCAGCAGUAGGGAAUCUACCGCAAUGGGCGAAAGCCUGACGGAGCAACGCCGCGUGAGUGAUGAAGGUCUUCGGAUCGUAAAACUCUGUUAUUAGGGAAGAACAAAUGUGUAAGUAACUAUGCACGUCUUGACGGUACCUAAUCAGAAAGCCACGGCUAACUACGUG
RNAcentral lists this ribosomal RNA (497 nucleotides) under uncultured bacterium. Its description in RNAcentral is "partial 16S ribosomal RNA". It matches the Rfam family "Bacterial small subunit ribosomal RNA", at positions 28 to 507 of the family's 1533-position model. The record is from RNAcentral.